UACCGAUGAGGAAAGCAAUCACAUGUCUUAACCCCAGACCUGGCCCCAGAGCCAGCAAUGGUGAACCCACUGGGGCUGGCUGGGGGAGAGGAGGAUGCUUUGUUCCAGAAGGAACAGUCUGAGGUAC
This is a small nucleolar RNA of Sarcophilus harrisii (Tasmanian devil), 127 nucleotides long. Its record names the gene SNORD22. It matches the Rfam family "Small nucleolar RNA SNORD22". Rfam says of the family: U22 is a member of the C/D class of snoRNA which contain the C (UGAUGA) and D (CUGA) box motifs. U22 is encoded within the U22 snoRNA host gene (UHG) in mammals and has also been identified in Xenopus. The record is from Ensembl. Lineage: Eukaryota; Metazoa; Chordata; Mammalia; Dasyuromorphia; Dasyuridae.